GAGGUCAAUAACACUGAUGCUGAGGGAAGGCUGACACUUGCGGAUGCUUUAGUUUAUACUUGCAACCAAGGUGUUGAAAAGGUGGUUGAUCUGGCAACACUAACUGGUGCUUGUGUAGUUGCUCUAGGGCCCAGCAUUGCCGGAUUUUUCACCCCAAGCGAUGACUUGGCAAAGGAGAUUGUCGCAGCGUCCGAGAUCAGCACUGAGAAGUUCUGGCGCAUGCCGUUGGAGGAGAGCUACUGGGACUCGAUGAAGUCGGGCGUUGCUGACAUGGUCAACACCGGUGGUCGCCAGGGCGGUGCUAUCACAGCUGCACUUUUCCUCAAGCAGUUUGUUGAUGAGAAGGUGCAGUGGGCACACAUAGAUAUGGCAGGGCCCGUGUGGAGUGAUAAGAAGCGAAAUGCUACUGGAUUUGGGGUUUCCACAUUGGUGGAGUGGGUUGUGAAGAACUCUUCAAGCUGAUGGACUUGUUAAGAUUAAGCACGGAUACCCAAUAAAUCCACUGGAGCCGAAAUUUGAAUAAGUCAAAUUAUCAUUUUAGCGUAUAGAUUGAACAAGUUGUUUAUUUUAAUUUGGAAAACUUCCUGAACUAUGAAAGCUGAUAAUUUGGCUAUUUAAUGUGGACUUUUAUUGUUAUUAUUGAUGCAAUCAAGGUUAAACUUAAGUUAAAA
This 671-nucleotide unclassified non-coding RNA is filed under the name Hevea brasiliensis (rubber tree). The record is from RNAcentral. Lineage: Eukaryota; Viridiplantae; Streptophyta; Magnoliopsida; Malpighiales; Euphorbiaceae.